This 253-nucleotide ribosomal RNA is filed under the name uncultured bacterium. RNAcentral describes it as "partial 16S ribosomal RNA". It matches the Rfam family "Bacterial small subunit ribosomal RNA", at positions 524 to 776 of the family's 1533-position model. The record is from RNAcentral.
UACGAAGGGGGCUAGCGUUGUUCGGAAUUACUGGGCGUAAAGCGCACGUAGGCGGACUAUUAAGUCAGGGGUGAAAUCCCGGGGCUCAACCCCGGAACUGCCUUUGAUACUGGUAGUCUCGAGUCCGGAAGAGGUGAGUGGAAUUCCGAGUGUAGAGGUGAAAUGCGCAGAUAUCAGGAGGAACACCGAUGGCGAAGGCAGCUCGCUGGGACGGUACUGACGCUGAGGCGCGAAAGCGUGGGGAGCAAACAGG